This 873-nucleotide long non-coding RNA is filed under the name Mus pahari (shrew mouse). RNAcentral describes it as "lncRNA (MGP_PahariEiJ_G0003680.1)". Lineage: Eukaryota; Metazoa; Chordata; Mammalia; Rodentia; Muridae. The record is from RNAcentral.
GCCUUCUUCUGGAACUGGGUAAGCAGUGCACUUUCAUGGAGGGAUUCUUCAUAACUAUUUGGCACAGCUCUCCCUUCAGCAAGACAUCACCCAUUGCUCUCACCAGGAGACUGUGCACAGGAGUGUUGAAGAAACACACUCAGUGCAAGGGUGGCUUUGUGUGGAGAUGGAUAAGAGGAGGGCACGGGACAUUGCCAGCCACGAGCAGCUGUACCUUGGCAGGUUGGCACAGUAUCUGACCAGUGACCGUCUUCUCGGCAGGUUGCCCUCGCAGAGCCAUUCAGUGAUUGCCCCUCUGGGCACUGGAAGGCGCAGGUUGAUCCAUAGCUAAAGUUUCCCCAGGGACUGGAACAGUUCAUUGCUAUUGCUGUGUCCAUGUGCAAUUCGGAGCACUUGACGGCUGUGAGGGAGGAUGAAGAAUGUGUGAGAAGCAGAAUGUGUGCUGAAGGGAGCAUUGCGGUUUGCUUUGAGCCCAACUGGAAUUUUCAAUCGAUGGAGUGGAUGCGAAAUGUCACGAUGGAGGUCAGUCACACCCAAGAGUUACACACAGUAGCUCUUAAAAUAACACCUUGCUGAAGCAUCCACUGAAAUAAUACUAGCCAGAGAACAAGGAUGGCCCAUGGAAUCACGUAAUAAAGAUCAGCAAAUGGACUCUUCUUGCUUCCAAAAAGACUCCUUACAAAAUUUGCCCUUCUCAAACACUAUUGAAUCUGUAUCUAUGUGUUAUUAUUGAUGUGUUGUGAGUAAUGGGCCAUGCCAGCAUGUGAUUAACAAAAUAUUUAUUUAGCAUUCCCUACAGCUGGACACUAGAAGUUUGGAAGAAAGAGAAGUCACGAUUCUCUCUAAACCAUUUUUUAAAAAGUAGCUUCGGAU